UUAAGUUCAGCGGGUAGUCCUACCUGAUCCGAGGUCAACCUUGAAGAGUUGGGUGUUUUACGGCGUGGCCGCACCGCUGUCCCUCUGCGAGCUAAGUACUUCACAGGGGAGGUCACGGUGGGACCGCCACUACAUUUAGGGGACGGCAGCCGCUAGGGAAGCCGAUCCCCAACACCAGCGCCCUCCGACCAGUGCCGGAG
Molecule: unclassified non-coding RNA, 200 nt
Filed under: uncultured Beauveria
Lineage: Eukaryota; Fungi; Ascomycota; Sordariomycetes; Hypocreales; Cordycipitaceae
Description: sequence contains ITS2
Source: RNAcentral